UGGUUCUGUUCAGGCUGAUUCAGGCUGAUGUGUAUCCAGAUGGACAUUGGUUCUGUUCAGGCUGAUGUGUAUCCAGAUGGACAUUGGUUCUGUUCAGGCUGAUGUGUAUCCAGAUAGACAUUGGUUCUGUUCAGGCUGAUGUGUAUCCAGAUGGACAUUGGUUCUGUUCAGGCUGAUGUGUGUCCAGAUGGACAUUGGUUCUGUUCAGGCUGAUUGCUGAUGUGUAUCCAGACAGACAUUAUUUACAUGUCAGUUUAUUUCAAUGAUGAUUCCCAUCAAGAGAUACGAUCUCUUGUUUUGAUCGAGUGUCUCUACAAGGGGUGGUAUGUAUGUAGAAAUGUAACGUAUAUGAAAUACGUUUUAAGUGAAGAAAGUGAUUUGCAAGGAAUGAAUAAUGUUUGCAUCCUAAAUGACAUCAUAUUCCCUAUGUAGUGCACUUCUUUUGAACAGGACCCAUGGGGCUCUGGUCAAAAGUCGUGCACUAUAUAGGGAAUUAGGUAUUGGUACACAGCCAUGAUGAAAUGUAGGAAUCUAAACUGUUGUUUUGCUCAUAUGAUGAAGGAAGAAACUAGAAGUUGA
Molecule: long non-coding RNA, 579 nt
Organism: Oncorhynchus keta (chum salmon)
Lineage: Eukaryota; Metazoa; Chordata; Actinopteri; Salmoniformes; Salmonidae
Exons: 2
Source: RefSeq, a predicted model, not a curated record